RNAcentral lists this ribosomal RNA (484 nucleotides) under uncultured bacterium. RNAcentral's name for it is "partial 16S ribosomal RNA". It matches the Rfam family "Bacterial small subunit ribosomal RNA", at positions 30 to 507 of the family's 1533-position model. The record is from RNAcentral.
AUUGAACGCUGGCGGCAGGCCUAACACAUGCAAGUCGAGCGGAUGAAGGGAGCUUGCUCCUGGAUUCAGCGGCGGACGGGUGAGUAAUGCCUAGGAAUCUGCCUGGUAGUGGGGGAUAACGUCCGGAAACGGGCGCUAAUACCGCAUACGUCCUGAGGGAGAAAGUGGGGGAUCUUCGGACCUCACGCUCUCAGAUGAGUCUAGGUCGGAUUAGCUAGUUGGUGGGGUAAAGGCCUACCAAGGCGACGAUCCGUAACUGGUCUGAGAGGAUGAUCAGUCACACUGGAACUGAGACACGGUCCAGACUCCUACGGGAGGCAGCAGUGGGGAAUAUUGGACAAUGGGCGAAAGCCUGAUCCAGCCAUGCCGCGUGUGUGAAGAAGGUCUUCGGAUUGUAAAGCACUUUAAGUGGGGAGGAAGGGCAGUAAGUUAAUACCUUGCUGUUUUGACGUUACCAACAGAAUAAGCACCGGCUAACUUCGUG